AAUACCCUGCUGUGUGCGUGAUCAGCCUUGAAGUUUUGAGCCAACACCAUUAGAAAGGGAGCCCGGACUCUGAAUGUGGCUUGUAUGCCUCUCAUGCAGAGGAAACAAAAAGCAUUCAGGAGGGCACCCACCUGUUGAGAGCAGGUUCAAAAAACUUUUGGGGAUCACGGCAUGAGUGGGGUUUUU
Molecule: non-coding RNA, 186 nt
Filed under: Pelotomaculum thermopropionicum SI
Lineage: Bacteria; Bacillati; Bacillota; Clostridia; Eubacteriales; Desulfotomaculaceae
Also listed under: 1 other name
Description: 6S / SsrS RNA
Rfam family: 6S / SsrS RNA
About the family: E. coli 6S RNA was the first non coding RNA to be sequenced, but its function was unknown until recently. It consists of 184 nucleotides that fold into an extended hairpin structure with a large single-stranded internal bulge. The 6S RNA specifically associates with RNA polymerase holoenzyme containing the sigma70 specificity factor.
Source: Rfam by way of RNAcentral